RNAcentral lists this microRNA (23 nucleotides) under Branchiostoma lanceolatum (amphioxus). RNAcentral describes it as "Bla-Mir-4872-P3_5p (mature (guide))". The record is from RNAcentral. Lineage: Eukaryota; Metazoa; Chordata; Leptocardii; Amphioxiformes; Branchiostomatidae.
UGCCGGGGCAAUUAAGAUUCUGA